RNAcentral lists this ribosomal RNA (285 nucleotides) under uncultured bacterium. RNAcentral describes it as "partial 16S ribosomal RNA". It matches the Rfam family "Bacterial small subunit ribosomal RNA", at positions 72 to 349 of the family's 1533-position model. The record is from RNAcentral.
AAGAAAGCUUGCUUUCUUUGCUGGCGACCGGCGCACGGGUGAGUAACACGUAUCCAACCUACCCUUUACUCGGGGAUAGCCUUUCGAAAGAAAGAUUAAUACCCGAUAGCAUAAUGAUUCCGCAUGGUUUCAUUAUUAAAGGAUUCCGGUAAAGGAUGGGGAUGCGUUCCAUUAGGUUGUUGGUGGGGUAACGGCCCACCAAGCCUUCGAUGGAUAGGGGUUCUGAGAGGAAGGUCCCCCACAUUGGAACUGAGACACGGUCCAAACUCCUACGGGAGGCGCAUG